Molecule: transfer RNA, 59 nt
Filed under: Galendromus occidentalis (western predatory mite)
Lineage: Eukaryota; Metazoa; Arthropoda; Arachnida; Mesostigmata; Phytoseiidae
Description: tRNA-Gly
Source: RNAcentral
AUUUUAUUAAUAUAUAAAGUAUAUUUAAUUUCCAAUUAAAAAGAUUUUUUUUAAAAAUA